GGUGUGGAGAUUGCUUAAAGAACUAAAAGUAGAUCUACCAUUUGAUCCAACAACCCCAUUCCUCAGUAUCUACCCAGAGGAAAAGAAGUCAUUAUACAAAAAAGAUACUUGUACACACGUUUAUAGCAGCAAAAUUCAUAAUUGUGAAAAUAUGGAACCAGCCCAAAUGCCCAUCAAUCAAUGAGUGGAUAAAGAAAAUGUGAUAUGUACACACACACCCCAUGGAAUACUACUCAGCCAUAAAAAGGAGCAAACUGGAUGGAAUUGGAGACCAUUCUUCUAAUUGCAGCAACCUGGAUGGAAUUGGAGACCAUUCUUCUAAGUGAAGUAGCUCAAGAAUGG
Molecule: long non-coding RNA, 342 nt
Filed under: Homo sapiens (human)
Lineage: Eukaryota; Metazoa; Chordata; Mammalia; Primates; Hominidae
Description: lncAB241.1
Source: RNAcentral